This 522-nucleotide ribosomal RNA is filed under the name uncultured bacterium. RNAcentral describes it as "bacterial SSU rRNA". It matches the Rfam family "Bacterial small subunit ribosomal RNA", at positions 772 to 1297 of the family's 1533-position model. The record is from RNAcentral.
ACGGAAUAGAUACCCAGGUAGUCCACGCCCUAAACGAUGAUUACUCGACAUACGCGAUACACAGUGUGUGUCUGAGCGAAAGCAUUAAGUAAUCCACCUGGGAAGUACGUCCGCAAGGAUGAAACUCAAAGGAAUUGACGGGGGUCCGCACAAGCGGUGGAGUAUGUGGUUUAAUUCGAUGAUACGCGAGGAACCUUACCUGGGCUAGAAUGCUAUCUGACUGUACCUGAAAGGGUAUUUGUAGCAAUACACAGAUAGUAAGGUGCUGCAUGGCUGUCGUCAGCUCGUGCCGUGAGGUGUUGGGUUAAGUCCCGCAACGAGCGCAACCCCCAUCUUCAGUUGCCAGCACGUAAUGGUGGGAACUCUGAAGAAACUGCCGUCGUAAGACGCGAGGAAGGAGGGGAUGAUGUCAAGUCAUCAUGGCCUUUAUGCCCAGGGCUACACACGUACUACAAUGGGGAGGACAAAGGGCAGCGACCUGGUAACAGGAAGCAAAUCUCAAAAACCUCUUCUCAGUUCAGA